AGGCGGGUCCUGUGCAACAGGCCGCCGUGAACCAUGUCAGGCGGGGAACCGAGCAGCAUUAAGCGGAUGUGUUUGUGUGCCGCAGCCAACCUGCCUUUC
RNAcentral lists this signal recognition particle RNA (99 nucleotides) under Ruminococcaceae bacterium OttesenSCG-928-O06. RNAcentral's name for it is "signal recognition particle sRNA small type". It matches the Rfam family "Bacterial small signal recognition particle RNA". Rfam says of the family: The signal recognition particle (SRP) is a universally conserved ribonucleoprotein involved in the co-translational targeting of proteins to membranes. Archaeal SRP consists of a 7S RNA and homologues of the eukaryotic SRP19 and SRP54 proteins. In most bacteria, the SRP consists of a 4.5S RNA and the Ffh protein (a homologue of the eukaryotic SRP54 protein). Lineage: Bacteria; Bacillati; Bacillota; Clostridia; Eubacteriales; Oscillospiraceae. The record is from RNAcentral.